RNAcentral lists this ribosomal RNA (1811 nucleotides) under metagenome. RNAcentral's name for it is "bacterial LSU rRNA". It matches the Rfam family "Bacterial large subunit ribosomal RNA", at positions 1098 to 2925 of the family's 2925-position model. The record is from RNAcentral.
AGGUUGGCUCAGAAGCAGCCAUCCUUUAAAGAGUGCGUAACAGCUCACUAGUCGAGUGACCCUGCGCCGAAAAUGUACCGGGGCUAAGCCUGAUACCGAAACUGCGGAUUGUAGGAAACUAUAGUGGUAGGGGAGCGUUGUAUACGAGCAGAAGCCGUACCGUGAGGAGCGGUGGAUUGUAUAGAAGUGAGAAUGCCGGUGUGAGUAGCGAGAUGUAGGUGAGAAUCCUACACACCGAAAGCCCAAGGAUUCCAGGGGAAGGUUCGUCCGCCCUGGGUAAGUCGGGACCUAACGCGAGGCCGAAAGGCGUAGUGGAUGGAAAGCAGGCGAAAGAUUCCUGCACCCGUAUAUGGAGCGAAGGAGUGACGGAGACGGAUAGUGUGACCCUCUUAAUGGAUUGAGGGCGAAGCGAAGCGGCUGGUUACCAGGCAAAUCCGGUAACCAUAAGGCUAGAGCGUGACAGGUAAGCGAAAUCUUCGGAAAGUAGCGAAGCACAUGAUGACGGCUUCCAGGAAAAGCUUCUGGCAAUGCAUAUGCGGCCCGUACCAAAACCGACACAGGUGGGCAGGGAGAGAAUCCCGAGGUGAGCGAGAGAACUGUUGCCAAGGAACUCGGCAAAAUGACUCCGUAAGUUAGCGAGAAGGAGUGCUUAAGCAAUUAAGCCGCAGUGAAGAGGCCCAAGCGACUGUUUAACUAAAACACAGCUCUCUGCGAAGUCGCAAGACGAAGUAUAGGGGGUGACACCUGCCCGGUGCUGGAAGGUUAAGAGGAUCUGUUAAGAGCGAUCUGAAGCAGUGAUCCGAAGCCCCAGUGAACGGCGGCCGUAACUAUAACGGUCCUAAGGUAGCGAAAUUCCUUGUCAGGUAAGUUCUGACCCGCACGAAAGGUGUAACGAUUUGGGCGCUGUCUCGGCAGCAGACUCGGUGAAAUCUUAGUACCUGUGAAAAUGCAGGUUACCCGCAACUAGACGGAAAGACCCCAUGGAGCUUUACUGCAGCCUGAUAUUGAAUUCUGGUCAUACAUGUACAGGAUAGGUGGGAGACAAAGAGACGUGCACGCCAGUGUACGAGGAGUCGACGUUGGGAUACCACUCUUGUGUGACCGGGGUUCUAACCUGGUAUCGAGAACAGGUACGGGGAGAGUGUCAGGUGGGCAGUUUGACUGGGGCGGUCGCCUCCCAAAGAGUAACGGAGGCGCCCAAAGGUACGCUCAGAUUGGAUGGAAACCAAUCGUCGAGUGCAAUUGCAGAAGCGUGCUUGACUGUGAGACAGACAAGUCGAACAGGGACGAAAGUCGGGAAUAGUGAUCCGGCGGUGCCGAAUGGAAGGGCCGUCGCUCAACGGAUAAAAGCUACCCUGGGGAUAACAGGCUGAUCUCCCCCAAGAGUCCACAUCGACGGGGAGGUUUGGCACCUCGAUGUCGGCUCAUCGCAUCCUGGGGCUGAAGUCGGUCCCAAGGGUUGGGCUGUUCGCCCAUUAAAGCGGUACGCGAGCUGGGUUCAGAACGUCGUGAGACAGUUCGGUCCCUAUCUGUUGUGGGCGAAGGAGAUCUGCGGAGAGCUGUCCUCAGUACGAGAGGACCGGGAUGGACCUACCGCUGGUGCACCGGUUGUUCCGCCAGGGGCAUAGCCGGGUAGCUAAGUAGGGAAAGGAUAAGCGCUGAAAGCAUCUAAGCACGAAGCCUACUCCAAGAUGAGAUCUCCCAUUCGCAAGAAGUAAGACCCCUUAAAGACGAUAAGGUAGAUAGGCCAGGGAUGGAAGUGCAGUGAUGUACGGAGUUGACUGGUACUAAUCGGUCGAGGACUUAAUCAG